UGCAAAAUUGUCGUCCCGCAGCUAC
Molecule: non-coding RNA, 25 nt
Filed under: Drosophila melanogaster (fruit fly)
Lineage: Eukaryota; Metazoa; Arthropoda; Insecta; Diptera; Drosophilidae
Source: RNAcentral